Long non-coding RNA from Carlito syrichta (Philippine tarsier), 755 nucleotides. RefSeq lists it as uncharacterized. The transcript has 3 exons. The record is from RefSeq and is a predicted model, not a curated record. NCBI's taxonomy places the organism in Eukaryota, Metazoa, Chordata, Mammalia, Primates, Tarsiidae.
ACAGAACUCGAAGCAAAUGCUGCCAUAGUCUCUGGACAAAGUGAGCCCAAAGAGAUAGUUGAGAAGUCUAAAACCCCAAGCCGGAGAAACUCCCGAACUGAAGAUCCAACUGUGUCUUCUGAAAGUGUGGAAAAUGGACAUCGUAAACGAUCCUCUCGACCUGCGUCAGCCUCCAGCUCUACUAAAGACAUAACCAGUGCAGUGCAAUCCAAGCGAAGAAAGUCCAAGUAAACAAGCUGGAUGGCAACUGGAUACUUGUAAAUGUGUGUGAAUUUUACAAAGAGCAAUUUUGAGCUGUGACUUUUUAAAAUCCAUUUCUGUACAGUUAUUCAUUUUAACAAUGUGGCCCUUUCCCUAGUCCCUGCAACCUGUUUCGUAAAACGUAAUGGGGAAGGCAGGGUUGUUGAGCCCUUUGGGUGUUGCGAGUUGAAAUUCAAGGUUUUUAAAAUGCUGUAAUGUAUUGAGAGGAGCUAAUGCCAUUAUAAAUGUUAUUAGUUUUCACAUUUCCUAGGCAGCCUAGAGUACAGGGUGAGCAUUUUUUAGAUCUUCUCAUGAUGUAUUGUGCUGUGGAAGUACUGUGUGUGAAUAGCAGUAGUGGGGCAAAAGCAAUCUCAUUCGGAAAUGUAAAUAAUUUUGUUAUAUAGUGUUUUGGAUGUAUUUGUUGUAGAAAUGGACCAGUGAAUAAAGAGAAUCUAAGGGUUUGUACAAUGUGAAAUACUGAAUGUGUUAAAUAAAUGUCAUUGUCGUAGAACAUA